AGUGAACGCUGGCGGUAGGCCUAACACAUGCAAGUCGAACGGCAGCACAGUAAGAGCUUGCUCUUACGGGUGGCGAGUGGCGGACGGGCGAGGAAUACAUCGGAAUCUACUUUUUCGUGGGGGAUAACGUAGGGAAACUUACGCUAAUACCGCAUACGACCUACGGGUGAAAGCAGGGGAUCUUCGGACCUUGCGCGAUUGAAUGAGCCGAUGUCGGAUUAGCUAGUUGGCGGGGUAAAGGCCCACCAAGGCGACGAUCCGUAGCUGGUCUGAGAGGAUGAUCAGCCACACUGGAACUGAGACACGGUCCAGACGCCUACGGGAGGCAGCAGUGGGGAAUAUUGGACAAUGGGCGCAAGCCUGAUCCAGCCAUACCGCGUGGGUGAAGAAGGCCUUCGGGUUGUAAAGCCCUUUUGUUGGGAAAGAAAAGCAGCAGGUUAAUACCCCGCUGUUCUGACGGUACCCAAAGAAUAAGCACCGGCUAGCUUCGUG
Molecule: ribosomal RNA, 492 nt
Filed under: uncultured bacterium
Lineage: Bacteria
Description: partial 16S ribosomal RNA
Rfam family: Bacterial small subunit ribosomal RNA
Source: RNAcentral